RNAcentral lists this ribosomal RNA (460 nucleotides) under uncultured bacterium. Its description in RNAcentral is "bacterial SSU rRNA". It matches the Rfam family "Bacterial small subunit ribosomal RNA", at positions 49 to 525 of the family's 1533-position model. The record is from RNAcentral.
UAACACAUGCAAGUCGAGUGCGCGGUUGUAGCAAUACAACUGGCGCACGGCGCACGGGUGCGUAACACGUGGGUAACCUGCCCUUUAGUGGGGAAUAACCCCGGGAAACCGGGGCUAAUACCGCAUAAGAUCCGCAAGGAUGAAAGCCGUAAGGCGCUGAUGGAGGGGCCCGCGCACGAUUAGCUAGUUGGUAGGGUAACGGCCUACCAAGGCUAUGAUCGUUAGCUGGUCUGAGAGGAUGGCCAGCCACACUGGAACUGAGACACGGUCCAGACUCCUACGGGAGGCAGCAGUGGGGAAUCUUGCACAAUGGGCGAAAGCCUGAUGCAGCGACGCCGCGUGGGGGAUGAAGCUUCUUCGGAGUGUAAACCCCUUUCGACCCGGACGAAUGCCCGCAAGGGAUUUGACGGUACGGGUAUAAGAAGCCCCGGCUAACUACGUGCCAGCAGCCGCGGUAAGA